UUGCCUGCAGCUAGCUCUCUGCAACUCUCACAUGGUCGCCCACUGAAGCUGAACAGGGCUGCGCCUGGUCAGUACCUGGAUGGGUGACCACAUGGGAAAGCUAGGUUGCUGUGAAA
Non-coding RNA from Danio rerio (zebrafish), 116 nucleotides. The record is from Rfam. NCBI's taxonomy places the organism in Eukaryota, Metazoa, Chordata, Actinopteri, Cypriniformes, Danionidae.